GGACCUCAGGCCUCACACUAUACCUCCCAUUGAGCACAAAAUAUGAAUUACUUAGUUAAGAAAAGCAAGAGGAAUUCAACCAGGAAAAUUCUGAUAAAAAGCUAUGAAAUAAGUAGACCUUUCACAAUUCACAAGAAAAACAUUGCAUAAUAAAAGGAUGCUAGAAGAACACUGAUUACAUCGUAAGUCCUUAGUCUUCGGGAGGACACAGUUGAGAAGCUAGUCUUCAAAACUGAUCAUAUGACUACAGUAAUAUUCUUAAAACUAUGUAAAUUGCACAGACAUUCCUGCAGAUAAUAUCGUCAAGUUGAAAACUCCCGGAGGAGGAAGUCGCUGCACUUUUUCAG
Long non-coding RNA from Chinchilla lanigera (long-tailed chinchilla), 347 nucleotides. RefSeq lists it as uncharacterized. The record is from RefSeq and is a predicted model, not a curated record. The transcript is spliced from 3 exons. NCBI's taxonomy places the organism in Eukaryota, Metazoa, Chordata, Mammalia, Rodentia, Chinchillidae.